AACGUAGGAGGCGAGCGUUAUCCGGAUUCACUGGGCGUAAAGCGCAUGUAGGUGGCUCGUCAAGUCGCCUGUGAAAGCCCCUGGCUUAACUGGGGGAGGUCAGGCGAAACUGACGGACUUGAGGGCCGGAGAGGAAGGUGGAAUUCCCGGUGUAGCGGUGGAAUGCGUAGAGAUCGGGAGGAACACCAGUGGCGAAAGCGACCUUCUGGGCGGCGCCUGACACUGAGAUGCGAAAGCGUGGGGAGCAAACGGG
RNAcentral lists this ribosomal RNA (253 nucleotides) under uncultured bacterium. RNAcentral describes it as "partial 16S ribosomal RNA". It matches the Rfam family "Bacterial small subunit ribosomal RNA", at positions 524 to 776 of the family's 1533-position model. The record is from RNAcentral.